GUGAGGAAACUAAGAUAGAUAAAGACCAGGUGAACUGUCCAAAUGACACAGCUACCCUGGGGCUGGCAAACUCCAAACGCUUUUAACCUUGGUCCUACAGAGGAGUGGUGCAGCAGAUCCAGAGGCACCUUCAGCUGUGUAGCAGAAGUGGAGAUGUUUUUAACAUGCCAGAGCUAUGCCUUUUGCCAGACCCACCCAGCAGGCAUGCAGAAAGACAGCACUGCUGAUGCCUAUAUCCAGUUUCAUCCUUCAAUUAGUGAUUUGCUUUCCCUUACAAUCCAAGUGCUGGUGGAAUUAACCUCAGCUAAUUAUCACUGAUGGACUGAUCUUUCUGUGAAGCCUAGAAAGCAAGGCUGUCAUAUUUUGCCUGAGAUUUGCAUACACAUUUCCUCUGUGAUCCGAUUGCUCAGUUUUGGAAGUCUGCUUUAAGGUUCCAACAGGCUUAAUUUCACACAAGUUUAAUAGAUUGCAAGAUGCAGGAACAGCAUCUGUGUAAAAUAAGCUUUAGGUGUAUUUGGAAGGAGACAAACUGAGUUAUAAAUGCUUGUUGGACAUGGUUUGAAACUUUGAGUCUGGGUUGAUGAUCAUUAGUCAGAUAUUGCUAUAUUUUACUUUGUGGCUUUUGGGUUUUUUCCUGUAGAGACUUAAGAGGAAAACUCACCUACUAUCCUUACUUCACUUCUUGAUUUUCUUGUGAGGGCAGUGAGAUCUUGUUUGUAAUGUACCUCAUUGGGGCAAAGUAAAUCCUUCCUGAUGGUACAGGGUUCAGGUAGCUGCAGAGCUGAAACAAUCCACAUAAACAAAGAGCCCAUGGCUGCCUGCAGUGCAGCUCCGUAAAAUAUCCUUUGUAGAUCCAAGCUCUGCUCUCUUGCACAGAAUGAAUUACUUGCAUGUUCCCACUUUAAGCAUUUCAUAGACUUAACCACCAUAAAAAGUAGCAUUUUAGGGAAAUUUGUAUCUUAUCUCUAUAAUUUACACCAUUUUUCAGUAAAAUGACGCUUUAUCUG
RNAcentral lists this long non-coding RNA (1007 nucleotides) under Cyanistes caeruleus (blue tit). RNAcentral describes it as "lncRNA (ENSCCEG00000008480.1)". Lineage: Eukaryota; Metazoa; Chordata; Aves; Passeriformes; Paridae. The record is from RNAcentral.